Molecule: ribosomal RNA, 253 nt
Filed under: uncultured bacterium
Lineage: Bacteria
Description: partial 16S ribosomal RNA
Rfam family: Bacterial small subunit ribosomal RNA
Source: RNAcentral
UACGUAGGGUGCGAGCGUUGUCCGGAAUUAUUGGGCGUAAAGAGCUCGUAGGCGGCCUGUUGCGUCUGCUGUGAAAGCCCGGGGCUUAACCCCGGGUCUGCAGUGGAUACGGGCAGGCUAGAGUUCGGCAGGGGAGACUGGAAUUCCUGGUGUAGCGGUGAAAUGCGCAGAUAUCAGGAGGAACACCGGUGGCGAAGGCGGGUCUCUGGGCCGAUACUGACGCUGAGGAGCGAAAGCGUGGGAAGCGAACAGG